GACAAAUGCUAACAAUGUCUUAUCAGCAGUUAAGCAAGUAGCAAGUAACGUUUCAGCAGCAUUUAAUGCAGCUGUCUACGGUCUACAACUAAGUGUUUUAGCUGCUUAAUCGUCUUUACGAUUACAUUUCAUCGUGUUGCCUACCUAGGAGCACCGCUGAGAUGGUCAAUUCUUAGGUUAUAGGUAAUCUGUUCUGAUAGCGGACUAACCCGAAACUUUUUAUCAGGGGGAUACAAUUCUUUUUACCUGUCUUUUAUAAUGUACUCUCCUUAGAAGUAAGAUAGGUUAUGUUUGUAGAAUGGUAUAUGGGUGUGCUUUUGGACAUGGGUUCAAUUCCCGUCGUCUCCACCA
Molecule: transfer-messenger RNA, 351 nt
Filed under: bacterium
Lineage: Bacteria
Description: partial transfer-messenger RNA
Rfam family: transfer-messenger RNA
About the family: Bacterial tmRNA, also known as 10Sa RNA or SsrA, is named for its dual tRNA and mRNA-like properties.
Source: RNAcentral